RNAcentral lists this ribosomal RNA (218 nucleotides) under uncultured bacterium. RNAcentral's name for it is "partial 16S ribosomal RNA". It matches the Rfam family "Bacterial small subunit ribosomal RNA", at positions 1282 to 1500 of the family's 1533-position model. The record is from RNAcentral.
AACGUCCCAUUCGGACUGCAGUCUGCAACUCGACUGCACGAAGCUGGAAUCGCUAGUAAUCGCGGAUCAGAAUGCCGCGGUGAAUACGUUCCCGGGUCUUGUACACACCGCCCGUCACACCAUGGGAGUCAGUAACGCCCGAAGUCAGUGACCUAACCGAAAGGGAGGAGCUGCCGAAGGCGGGACGGAUGACUGGGGUGAAGUCGUAACAAGGUACC